RNAcentral lists this ribosomal RNA (463 nucleotides) under uncultured bacterium. RNAcentral describes it as "bacterial SSU rRNA". It matches the Rfam family "Bacterial small subunit ribosomal RNA", at positions 28 to 507 of the family's 1533-position model. The record is from RNAcentral.
GACGAACGCUGGCGGCGCGCUUAACACAUGCAAGUCGAGCGAUGAAGCACCUUCGGGUGUGAAUUAGCGGCGAACGGGUGAGGAACACGUGAGAAAUCUGCCUUCAACUCUGGGAUAACUCCGUGAAAACGGGGCUAAUACCGGAUAUGAGAUCUACAGGCAUCUGUGGAUCUGGAAAGUUUUUCGGUUGAAGAUGAUCUCGCGGCCUAUCAGCUUGUUGGUGAGGUAAUGGCUCACCAAGGCGACGACGGGUAGCCGGCCUGAGAGGGCGACCGGCCACACUGGGACUGAGACACGGCCCAGACUCCUACGGGAGGCAGCAGUGGGGAAUAUUGGGCAAUGGAGGAAACUCUGACCCAGCGACGCCGCGUGCGGGAUGAAGGCCUUCGGGUUGUAAACCGCUUUCAGCAGGGAAGAAGCGAAAGUGACAGUACCUGCAGAAAAAGCACCGGCUAACUACGUG